GAGAACGGGGGAAGUUGUGGAUAAAAAGAAGGAAAAAAAAAAAAGUCCUUGAAAAAGCUAAGUUCCUAAUCUCCUCCCACCAGUCUCUGUGAAGGAUGACUUCAGCUCCUUUCUUAACUAAUUCUGUCACUGUAAAAUCCUACAGUCAUUCUUCCACACAUAAAGGACAAAUAAGCUCAAGAGGAGGAUCUAGAUGCUUUCAGUUUUAACUAUUCGCCAAUGGUGGAAAAGGCAGAAUGCCUAAGCUAUGUCUUUGUGGCCAAUAGGAUAGCCGUGUAUCUCCCACAUGACUGGCUGCCCCUGUCUUUUCACAUGGGCUGUAAUUUAGUUCAAUUCAGAACUGCAGAUAGUACAGCUUUCACAGGAUCAAGGGUGCCUGAGCACAAGUGGCUGAGUUCCGAGUGACUUUAUGAAGCCCUUCUCUGCCUUUCUCUUGCCUGAAAACGAGGAUUCUGCACCUGCAUCAGGGAGAGUCUGGCAGGAGCCUCGGCUGUGCUUCCAGGGACAAGGAACUAGAACAAAUAACCAUUCUGAAAUUGGAUUUGGCAAAACUACUGGGAUUUACUGACAAAUCAAUGAAGAAAACUGAAGGCAGUUUGACCUACAUCUUGGAUGACAGCUCCACUGAGGCUGAAGAAGCAUGUCAGGUCUCCAAAGAAGUAGAGAGCUGGGCUAGUUGUACCCCAAAAUUAGGACAUGAUUAUGGAAGCAUGUAUUUCUAAAUUUUGUCCAUGGAAAAAGCCUAGAGACAAUGAAAAUACUGGGCAAAAGUUGAGCUUGGCCGGUGGACAGUGAAGACAGUGUUGGAAGGCCCUGGCUCUGCAGUUUCUCAGUUAAGAUCUACUUCAACAUGCUGCCCCAGGAUCCGUUCCCUAACUGGGGGCAUAUCCCAUUUCCACAGCAGAUAGAAAAGCUUGAAUGUGUUCUUCAGUUUUAUCAUGGGUGAAAAAAGCAGUACAGCUAUCUUGUGAAUUCUGGCUAAAUUACUCACCAGUCAAAGCUAUGGAAUGAGCCAUAUUCCUCUCACGAGAUUGCCUCUGACUGUUCAACACCUCCUGCCAAGCCAUCCCUCGUUUGGAUUUUAUGAAUAAUUUUUUAAACUCAGGGUUUUACAGUGUUCAAAUGGUUUAUAAACCACUCUAUUUGUUCAAUAAAGGUGGAUGAAUCUGGUUUUCUACAACGCAAUAACACUUCAGGCCUCGGAAGGCUAACACUCCUGCAGAUGGAAAUGUAUGUGACUUGUUUUGCAUAUCAUGAUUUUAGUUUUACAAGACUUGAGUUUCUGGAAUAUUCACCUGUAAUUACUUUAAAAAUUAAAAUAUCUUAGGGCAUUUCGUCUUUAUAAUAUUCCGAAGACUUAAACAAGUUACUUAGUUAUAUGAAGAGAAAAACUGACCUAAAGGAAAAUGGACUGACACUUGCUGUAUAAUUAAAAAUGGACCAAGAACUGCCUCGAUAUGCAUUUUUUUGUUUUUGUUUUUUCGUAAACAACGAAGGGCUUUUACAUACACACAUGCCCUCCAGAUAACAUUCUUCCUAUGAUUCCUUAAUAUCCUUUUACUUAAAUAUAAAAAGAAACAGCUGCCAUUGAGUCCACUCUGACUCGUGAUAACCCCAUACGUGUCAGAACAGAACUGUGUUUCACAGGGUUUUCAAUGGCUGAUUUUUCAGAAGCAGAUCACCAGCCCUUUCUUCCAAGGCACAUUUGGGUGUACUCAAAUGUCCAAGCUUUUGCUUAGCAGCCAAGUGCUUAACCAUUUGCAGCACCCAGGGACUUUACUUAAACAUGCAAAAUCACCUAAAUCUUCUAUUCAAGCCACAUUAAACUAUAAUAUCCUUUAAUUGGUUAAGAAUUGGGGAUGAUCAGAAAUUAAGUAUUUCUAUAAAGAAAUUACCUAUAGGAAGCAGGACUAGAGACCUUCAUUAGAUAGGCUUGCUCCUUCUUCUCUGUCACCUAAUAUUAAGAAGACUCUGUGAACAAGGUUCUCUGGAGGGGGUACGUGCCACAUUUUGCUAAACCUUCUCCUGAUGAUUGGGCUGCAAAUUUUCCUUUACUGCCUCUUUUCUCAUCUUCUUUAUGCAUCCACUCCUCCUGCGGAUAUAUUUUAAAAAUUAUCAGUAACCAAAAUAUGAUUCACCCUUUGCCCAGUUUACCCAUAUCUUUUUUUCAUUUACUAUUUUCUCAGUAUUUGGAGUAUUCUGCCCAUGAGGCCAAUGCAGAGGCUAGCUCACUAGAAUAGGCAAAUCCUCCCUCCAGUCGAGCAUUCCCAACAGUUUGCAACCCUUUAUUACUUCUGAUUUUAUUGUUGUGAUUUUUUUUUUUCAACUUCCAGGUAUUGAUUUGCAACUCGUUACUAAUUAGAGCUGUAUGAUCUUGGGCCAGUUACUUAAAUGUCUUGUGUCUCAGUUUUCUUAUCUGUAGAAUGAGGAAAAUAAGAGUAUUUACCUCUUUAAGUUGUUGUCAUGGAUUGAAUUGUGUCCCCCCAAAAUAUCUGUCAAUGUGGCUAGGUCAUGACUCCCUUGUACGAUUGCAUGAUUGCCCACCAUUUUAUCUUCUGAUGUGAUUUCCCUGUGUUGUAAAUCCUAUAACUAUGAUGUAGUAAGGUGGAUUAGGGGCAGUUAUGCUGAUGAAGUCUACAAGAUUAGGUUGUGUCCUAAGCCAAACUCUUUUGAGAUAUAAAAGAGAGAAGAGAGCAGAGACAUGGAGACCUCAUACCACCAAGAAAGCAGUGCUGGGAGCAGAGCAUGCCCUUUAGACCUGAGGUUCCUGUGCUGAGAUACUCCCAGACCAAGGGAAGACUGAUGGCAAGGACCUUCCUCCAGAGCCAACAGAGAAAGAAAGACUUCCCCUGGAGCUGGAGCCCUGAAUUUGGACUUCUAGCCUACAAGACUGUGAGAGAAUAAAAUUCUCUUAGUUAAAGCCACCCACUUGUGGUAUUUCUGUUAUAGCAGCACUAGAUGCCUAAGACAGUUGUUAUGAAAAGGAAAGAAAAUAUUGCCAAUAAAAAUCUUGGUACAGAGUCUGGCACAUAAUAACAUUCAGUAAAUGUUAAUUGCUAUCAUUAUCAAGAUGGGCACAUGUGAUAAUGCUGAACUUUAGUAUGUGACUUCCCUAUGAACGCAGCCCUUUCCAUUACUGCCUUUGAAAAUAAAAAUAUUUCAGAUAAUGCAAUAAACAUAGAUAACAAUGUUGUUUACAAAGCAUUUUUGCAUGUAAUUGUUCUGUAAGUUCCACAGGGUAGGGACUUCUGACUUUCUAUCUUGAUUACUGUGAGGAGCACAGUGCGUGACACUGAGUUGUUUCUUGGUAGCUAUCUGUUCACUGAGUUAAUAACAAAAUGAUGUCAUUUUGUUCUUGCAAGACUGGGUCUUGUGAAGAAACGGUGAUGUAGUAAACAAUCUCUCAUGUUAGAGCCACAUGUGGAGCUGGAUUCUCUUCAAACAUCAGGUUCGUUUAUCUUCCUACAAAAUGUAUUUUAUUCUAGUAGCAAAGGGCAGGGGGGAGGGUUGGCAAGUAGGGUUGGCAGAACCAGGACUAAUGUCAGUGUCUGUAUCUAUUGUCCUUCAAAACUCGGAGAUGGAAAGGCAGGGGCAUAGAAAUUUUUUAAAAAAGCAAGGUCAAAAGAAAGAGAGGAGAAAAAAAAAAAGAAGGAAACUGUAAAGCAAAAGGAAGAGAAAAGAAAGGAAAGGAGAAAGGAAGAAAGAGAUUCACUAGAAAAAUAAUUAACCUGUCUUAAGAAUAUUUUUUGUUUUGUUUUUUAGGCUAUUUCCAUGCAACACAUACACAAAAACAGUUGUUAAAUAUCAGUAACAUAAGAAUUAGAGAGAACAAUGGCUUUGGCCAUGACAUUUUCACAACUUUUCUAUACGAUCAAUUCAAAAUCUUAAUUGUUACUUUAGGAUUCCGUUAAUUGCAUUUAUUUUUCCUUCAUGCAAAUCCGUAACGGAAUUGAUGCAACAAGAAAUAUUUAUUUAUUUAUUUAAGUCAUAUACACAGCAAACUAUCAACAACAACAACAACAAAAAAACACCACUAAAGGUAAGGUUUUUGUAACUACUUUGACCUGGUUCCAUUUGCGGCAGCUUCUCACAGCAACCACAACUGUCCUAUAGCUGAGAGCCUCUGCCCUGGAAGCAGCGUUCCGAACACCACUGCUGCAUUAAUUCAGGAACUUAAUAAGCAUCUGUCUCCCCAGUGGUGCCUCACUGUCUAACUGAACUACUUAUAUCCUGUAAAUUUAUAGUCUGUUUGACUUCUAGAAACAAAGCAGUCAGACUUGCCUGACCUCAUCAGUUUAUUCUUGGAAUAUUGAAACUACUCAACAACCUAUGCAUCUUUAUGCAAAAAAAAAAAAAAUUGGCACAGCAAGAGUUGUUAUUAUAGCCAUGUGAUGCAGGCAGUGAUCAGAAAUUGUUAGUCUUUCUGAAUGAACAUGAAAAUAUGCACAUAAUAUUUUAAAAAUGAAUGUGGCUAAUGGAUUACUACGUGCUGAAAUUACCACAGUCAUCUGUAGCAUUACGUCACUGGAUUCUUAAGUAUCAGUUGGAAAAUGCAUAUUCUAAGGAAAAUGAUUAACCGGGAGAGCCCGAGUCAGACUCUGUUAGAUAACUCGAGAGAUUGAGUGCAUUUAAGAGCCCCCCUUUUUUUUUUUAAUACAGGUCAUCCCCACCUUACGACAGGGCUCCAUUCCCACUACUGUCUCAUAAGGCAGUUCUGACAUAAGUCGAAUACCUCAUUUUGUUUUUAAUUUUCAUUAUUAUUGCCUUUUAUUAAGAGUACCUUUAAAAAUCUGAUUUUUAUUUGUCUUUGGGGGUUGACAUGAGAAUGAUAAUAUCAACAAAUUAUGCCCUGCAACACUGUAUGUAGUAACAAUAAGAUGUACAAAAAAAAAAAAAAAUGGUCAAAAGUGUGGUUCAUCAUAACUCGGAUGUGUCAUAAGUCAGGAUUAAAAAGAUUACCUGUGCGUUAAUUAUACUUUUAUGCCAAAGUUUCUUAGUUCUGCAAUAGUAUAUACCAACCAUGAGGGAUUGGUCUCAGGCAUAUUUGUGAACAAAAUUGUACCUUUUCAUGGACUGCAUCCUUGGUGACCUGCACAUUCUUGCUUCCAGACAUAUAGGUACUGUGUUCAUAUAAUGUUGUAGGAAGGUGAAAUAUUAUAAAAAAGACUCCAGUCAGUAUAAAAAAGACUCUGUCUUCUUCCCGUUUUACCAUUUGGAUAGUACAUCAGAACAACCCUCCCUUUAUUGUGCUUAGUGAAGGGAAGUAAUAACAAUGACUAACAUUUAUCAAAUAUUUACUGUGCGCUAAUACUAAUACUUACUAUCACUGUUCCAAUCACACAAACUGUCAGGUUUAAUCCAUACAACCACCUUGUGAUCUGAAUAUUGUCACCAUCCCCAAUUAAAACAAGGAGAAAUGUAGGCUAACUAACUUCCCAAAGGUGGCACAAUCAAUGAGUGGUUGAACUUGAUCUCAGGUAUUUGGCACCAGAAUAUUAUAACUGACCACUCCAAGUGUAAAUUCCUGGUUAGUGAAGACCUCUUCCUAAAAAAGGAAAUACUAAGCUGGACAUUUGAAAUGCCCUGCUUCUCCUACUUCCUGCACACAGUGUGAGGGACUAUAUGAAGGGGUCCGGGUAGAACAGAGGUCAGGUAUCUUUCAAAGGGGAAAUAACAAUAGUACUUGGUCCUUGAGAUAACUUCCUCUAUGACCACUCCAAGCGGUGAUGAAGAGACUGGUUGGGAGCCCAGGUUUGAAGGUUAGCUCUCCCCCCUCACUCCCUGUGGGACAUGGAGCAACUCUCUUAACUUCUGUGAGCUUCAGUUUCUUUGUUAUUUACUGAAGAUAGCAACAGCAUCUAUCUUCUACAUCUGAAUUGGUAAUAAAACUUUCUCAUUUAGUCUUCUCAAAAAAUAAUGCAAACAGAAUAUUAAGAGCCAAAUACCUUUUAAUCUAUUAGACAGGUGAGAAAACUAGGAAGUAAGAAAGUUUAAAUUUAAUUUAAUAGUUACUGAACUCCAAAUCCAUGCUUUUCCCCCUAAACCACAUUGCCUGCUACAAAGCACUUUUUCUAAAGUUCUAAAAACUUCAAUGGAUUGUUAGGAGAUAGUAUGCUCUAUGUCAGUAAAAAAGUUCAUACUUAGGGGGUAGACACCAUCUAGCAUUUAGAUGAAAUAGGGUAUAUGUGAGGGCCUUUUCUGAGCAUAAGUUUCCUUGACUUUAUGAUCCCUUGAUAUGUUGCCAUUCAUGGUUCUGACUUCUUGGAAGGUUUGAUUCUACUAUCAAAGUUCUUUAAUGUAAGCAGUGGCCAAUUGUUAAUAGGUUCUCUCUGUGGCUAGUUAGCUUAGUUGAUUAUUUUAUGCUUCUAAUUAUGUUGAAUUAUUGGGUCCAAAAAACCAAAAAAAAAAAAAAAAUCAAACCUAUUUCUGUUGAGUCAAUUCUGACUCACAGCAACCCUAUAGGACAGAGUAGAAUUGUCCCAUAGGGUUUCCAAGGGGCAGCUGGUGGAUUCGAACUGCUGAUCUUUUGGUUACCAGCUUGAGCGCUUAACCACUGUGCAACCAGGGCAUUAAGUCCAAGAAAACCAAAAAACCAAACCCACUGCUGUCGAGUGUGAUUCUGACUCAUAGCGACCCUACCGGACAGAGUAAAACUCCAUGAAAACUGCCCCAUAGAGUUUUCAUGGAGCACCUGGCAGAUUUGAACUGCCGACCUCUUGGUUAAUAGCAGUAGCACUUAACCACUAUGCCACCAGGGUUUCCUUAAGUCCAAGAGAACACGUUUAUUACACUGUAAGCCAGUAAGCUUUCUGAUCUUAGGUUAAAUCCUUAAACUCAUCAGGAUUCCUUAAAACACCAGAAUGAGUGGAUUAGCUACAAUCCAUUUUUACUGUUGGAAAAACAGCCCAAGAUACUUGGCGGCAAUGGGUUAAGGGUACUUUAAAGAGCCCUGGUUGUGCAGUGGUUAAAACACUUGGCUGCUAACUGAAAGUUCAGCUGUUCAAACUCACCAGGUGCAUCACAGGAGAAAGAUGUAGUAGUCUGCUUCUGUAAAGAUAACUGCCUUGGAAACCCUAUGGGGCGGUCUGACUCCGUCCCAUAGGGUUGUCAUGAGUUGGAAUCAACUCGAUAGCAAUGGGUUACGAGUACCUUAACCUCUGUGUGGUACAAAUGGUUAACAUGCUUAGUUGCUAACCAUCCAAAGGCACCUCAGAAGAAAGGCCCAGUGAUCUACUUCUGAAAAAUCAGCCAUUGAAAACCCAGUGGAGCACUGUUCUGCUCUGGCACAUGGGGUUGCGGUGAGUUGAAGUUGAUUCAAUGGCUACUGGGACAACAACAACAAAAGGACACCUUGGUAACCUUAUCUUAUUUCUGUAUCCAAAGGAUAGUAUUAAUCCUUUGGUAGAAGCAACUGCACUACCAAGAAGUUACAUUCAAUGGAAGGUCAUUUCAGUUUUAUUAGUCCUAAUGUGGAGUCUGCUUUCCUGAAAUCUGAACUAGGCCAGCAAGUUUAUGAAUUUAUACUUAAGCUACACCUUCCAUGCUAAUUUUUUUAAACUAAAUGUGUGAUUAAAUACAUAAACAUAAUACCUACCGUGGGGCACAGCUUUUAAUGUGAUUUACCAUUUUAAUACUAUCUGCUGCCUUUUGUGGGCAUUAUAAACAUGUGAGGCUGAAGGUUAAUUCAAGAAGAAACCAGAAUUCCCUUUGAACUGUUUAUUUCAACUUUAUAUUAUGCCUCCAUUGGUUAUGUAGAGUUUAUGUAAGCUUUUUUUGGAAGAAUCAAGUCCCUUUUGAGAGCUUUAUUUUCUUUAAUUUGCAUUAGUUUUUAUAAAUAAAUGUCCUUGCUAUUUUUAUACUCAAAGACCACACUCAGUUAUCAUUUCAAAUAAACAAGAAAACAACAAUUUGAAUAAAUUAGAGAAGAGAGGUCUGCACAUAUACAGGGCUUAACCACUUGCCAAUAUGUGGUGGCAUAAACUUUGCUCCAAUUUUUAAGGGAGGUGAAAGCAAGGUCUUCAGGUAAAAAACAUAAAGGGAGGGGUGGUGGGGAGGGCCUAGAUAAACUCCUGUGGAGAUUUUCAAGUAAAUGAGACGUGUAGUGGCUCAUGAUACCAGUCAUAACAUCCAACAACAUAUGAUUUCAACUUCUAAUUCUGCCGUGAUGGAGUAACUGCUAUUGAGCUUACUUACUGCCCCACCACCUGCCACCCCAAACAAUCUUGAAACUGAAUAAAAUAUGCAAGGGAACUCUUUUAUGGCAUUGAACAACAGAAAGCAGAUCUUUGAAACAAGAUAACAUGAACUCCAUGUGCAAUCCAGACUGUAGUACCAGGAGAUAGAGCUCAAGUAGAACAGAGCAGUCUAUUCUAUGGAACAGGCUGAGAUUGGAGUCUUGGAAUGAAAGGGCACAUGGAAUUUAUGGGGCAAAAAAUCAGAGAGGAGGGAGCUACCCUGAAGUCUCAAUGGGGCUUCAGAUAGUUGGCUGGGAGCUGGUUUGCACACCUGCUGGUCAGGAUUCCACAGACCAAGCUCAGUGUGGCUACUGGGGGCAGAAAGCCAAUGAAGACACUAGAUGUUGUACAGGGCAGAGAGACAUGAAAUGUUGGCCCAGCCAGAGUGAACUAACCUGGCUGAGCACCUCGAACAUUUAGUUGAGACCCCAGAAAGACCACACCUUAAGAGUAAAGAUCUCUCUCUCUCAAGUAAGGGCUGAACCCUAGGCCAAGGUCAAAAUCAAGGUUCAAGAUCUUGACUCAGUAUAACUCAUUACUUACUUACAUUUAUAUAGUUCUCAUCAUUUUAAUACCCAUUUUUCACUUUUGAUUCCUUUGAUAAUUAAUUCAUCAUGUAUUUAAUAAGCACCUAUUUUUUGCAUCAGGGCACUGUGGUAGGGACUACUGAGUUCCUGAGUGUAUAAAAAAUAUCAUGCUAGGAUAGGGUUGCUACGAGUUGGAAUUGACUUGAAGGCAGUGGGUUUGGGUUUGGUUUGGUUGGGGUUUGUCUUCUUUUCAUUCAUUUAUCCACUCUCUGUCCAUGAAGACUGAAAGCAAUUUCCCUGAGCUACCUCUCUGUACUCCAACCUGAAUAUCUUUAGUCUGAGAUCACUGCUUGCUAACUGGCAUCAAUGCAGCAGUCAUAAUGGCAGCAGGCAGAUUCUUUAGCUAUGACCAACAAGGAAAUAGCCAAUGAACCAUCAGUGAGUAGAUCAGGCAUUGCUUGUUAUGUGGAUAUCCCACAACUUAUUUCACUACCAUUAUGGAUCACACACGGAAACCCUGGUGGCGUAGUGGUUAAGUGUUACGGCUGCUAACCAAAGGGUCAGCAGUUUGAAUCCGCCAGGUGCUCCUUGGAAACUCUAUGGGGCAGUUCUACUCUGUCCUAUAGGGUCACUAUGAGUCGGAGUCGACUCAACGGCAAUGGGUUUGGUUUUUUUUGUUUUUAUGGAUCACGCACACACACACAAAAAGACAGUGAGCAUUUUCCUCUCUUGAAGUUAUGAAAUGAGAAAUAUCAACCAGUAGUUAACACCAUGCCGACUUUAAAACAACAUAAGCAUGCUGACAUUUUGAGUUAACUAAAAAAAAAUUAUUAUAGGAGUCCCUGGAUGGUACAAAUGGUUAAAUGUUUGGCUACCAACCAAAAGGUAGGAGGUUCAAAUCCACCUGGAAGCACCUUGGAAGAAAGGGCUGGUGUUCUGUUUCCAAACAAUCAAAGUCAUUCAAAAUCCUACUCUGACACACAAGAGGUCUCCACGAGUGGGAAUCUACUGGACAGAAACUGUUUUUAUUUUGUUUUGUUUUCCCUAAAUAUUAUAGUCAUUAAAGGGCUUUUAUUAAGCUGAUGUAUUCAGCAGUUUAUAGUUAUUUGGCAUAUUCUCUCAUUGUGUACAGACAUAAAAAAUAACAUUUUUCCUUGAUGAGUUUAAAGUGUAACUCACACCUCACAAUGAUCACCUUACACUCUCUAAAUAUAUUGAAAUCAAAUAGGUCACCAUUUUACAGGUGGGAAAACUGAGAAGUAUUCUGCUAUAAGUAAUCAAAUCUAGAUUUCUCUGGUUCUGCCUAACAAUGCACUGGCUUCCAGAGAAGCAGCUGCUUGAAUUUAGAUUUGAAAAGAGCUAUUUUUUAUUUUAUUUUAUUUUCUUGGAGGCUUAUAUUCAACUGUUGGAGCACUGGUGGCACAGUGGUUAAGAGCUCAGCUGCAACCAAAAGGUCCCAUCAGCCACUCCUUGGAAAACCUAUGGGGCAGUUCUACUCUGUCCUCUAGGGUCACUACAAGUCAGAAUGGACUCAAGGGCAAAAGGGUAAAAGGGUCUUCGUGUACAAGCUUCAUCCUUGCUAAUGUAUCAAGUAGAUUUUGACAGAAUAUGGGAUGAAAUUUCAGAAGUAUUGAAGUUUACUAGCUUUUAACUUAAUUAUGAUGGUAAGAUUUAGGGUGGGGUGCCCCUUAAAAUGCUGAAAAUACAGGUGAUACAUUUCCAUAAAAGAAUAAUAAAUCUAAAAGUGCUUAGAAAUCAAGUGAAUUAAGAGUAUUCAUUACCUGAAAAAAGCAUGUCUAUUUUAUUACAACAGUUCCCAAAUGUCUACCAAACAUUGAUCAUUUCAUCUUCUUUACUGAGAUUUGCAGAUUAUAAGAUUUCCAUUAUAUACAUACAUUGAAUCACAAGAAAUCCUAACUUCUGUGAAUUGCAGUAUCAUUUCAGCCCUAUAAUUUAAUCAUAAACCUAAGGUUUAAAUUUGGUAACCUAAAAUUAAUCAGUGAUCAUUUCUGAAACAAUCUAUCCGUGAAGAAACCCAGAGACUUUUGCUUCUUGGGAUUAAUGACAUAAGGGAUGCAAUUAAAGACUUCUCUUUUGCUUUGGAAACCAGUGACCUAAAGAACUCUGGCAAUGUGGAUGCCGUAUAACAAAGAAGAAUACCAACAUUGAGGACUGAAAAGGAAAAUUACAUAUUAGCUACAGUGGCCUCCAACCAGGGAGUGAUUCUCCCCCAGAAGACCCUUGGCAAUACCUGGAGACAUUUUUUGUUUGUCACACGUCGGUGUGCACAUGACAUCUAGUAAGUCGAUGCCAGGUAUGCUGUCAAGCAUCCUACAAUGCACAGGAAAACGCUCUGCAACAAAUAAUCAUCCAUCCCAACAUGUCAGUAUUGUAGAGAUUAAGAAACUCUGAAUAAAAUGAGUUUUAGUAAUAGUCAAAACUUUUAAAAAGUAGCCAAGUGUUUGCAAUAAAUUACUAAGUCUUCUUUGGUGGUGAUCAAAGAAUGUUACCAUAUGUGCUAUGUAGGUUAGGCAUUUUGGAAUCUUCCUUGAUUGAAAUCAAAGAGUACUCUGAACAUGAAGAUUUAGAUAGCAUGUUAGCUGUGGCCAAGGUACCACAGCUUAGGACUGUAUUUAACAUUAAAUAUUAUGUAAAAUUUAAAAAAAUCAAAUCUUGGGGCUCUCUAUGAUGAACUUUAAAUGUAAAUUAUACCCUUAUGAUUUGAUUUCCCCAACUAACAUGCUUUAGGUGGCCACAACUUCCCUAGAAAGUGCCCGGAAAUCAAUGCAGACUAACCAUGCUAAAAGUAAAUUAUGUUAAUUGACAGGUUAGAAAUAGAUUCUUGCAAAGUAUGGGCCCUGUAAUGCUGCCACCUGAGCAUGUUGCUUGAUAAUGUGCCAAAAGCGGUGUCCUACUCAAUGUCUGUUGGCGAAAACAGUGUUAUUGACAAUUACUGCUGCCUUUCCUUGAGGAAACCCUGGUGGCGUAGUGGUUAAGAGCUAUGGAUGCUAACCCAAAGGUCAGCAGUUCGAAUUCACCAGGUGCUCCUUGGAAACCUCAUGGGGCAGUUCUACUCUGUCCUAUAGGGCUGGUAUGUAUGAGUUGGAAUCGACUUGACGGCAAUGGGUUUUCUUGGUUUUUCCGUUGAGCGCAGGCGCAAAUGGUCAAUGUGCUCAGCUACUAACAGAAAGGUUGGAGGUUCAAGUCCACCCAGAGGUGCCUCAGAAAAAAAAGGCCUGGCGAUCUACUUUCCAAAAAUCAGCAUUGAUAACACUAGAGAGCACAGCUCUACUCUGACACAUAUGAGGUCACCAUGAGUCAGAAUCGAUUCAACUGCAACGAGGAUUCCCUGAGAACAAUUAGAUAUUACCUAUUACCCCCAGAUCAAGUAUUGCACAAGUCAAAACAAAGCCAAUGGCCUUAACAACAUUGUGGAAAUUUUUGAAAAACUGCUCUAAAUUUACGCAGACUGAACGAACUGAUAUUGAUGCUGAAGAUAAUAGUAGAGACAUGAGUAGAGACAUGAAAUCCCUGUGAACUACACACAGCUUAUGAAUACUGCUGAGGGAGGAGCAAGGUCAACUUUUUUUUUUUUCCUGGACUGGAUGUGUACAUCCUUGUUUUUCUUUUGAGGAACAGAUUUUCAAGGGCUGAGCUAAAAUGAUAACUUGCUACUCAAUAAUAUAUUUUGAUUCACAGAAAACCAGCUAUUCAGUCAUUUUGAUAAAUUACUGUCUCACUCUCUAAAUAUGAAGUGUGAAUAGUAAUGCGGCUUUUCCCAGAUAAUUCGAGGGCGAAAGGCGUUGCAUAAACACAUAGUAUUUAUCAGGAGAUUGACUUUCUAACUUCCAUGGUGAUUUCAUCUGGCUUAGCUAAUGGCUUUUCCAUUCUGGCUGCAUAGCCAGUAGAAGUGUGUUGGACCCUAUAGGACCACCCAAACUGGAACAACCGAAAGGGUUCAAACCACCAAGGCACUGUGCCAGAAUCCUUCUGAGGACCCUGUGGGCUGUGUUGAUUAAUCAUCUUCCGCUCCUAAGGCUUUAUAUUUAGUAUCAAAUGUUUUAAAUAAUCUCUUUCUGAAGUGAUUCCAAAACUCAUGCCAGCUCUAAAAUGCUGUGAUUCUGUACAAGUAACAUUGUUUCUCUUUUUCACAGCACACUUUCUCCCUUCUAGCAGACACUGCCAGAUGAAUCACUUCCUGAUAUAUCAUCAGUGCCAUAAUAGAAAUUGCCCUGUCGCCAUAAAUUCAAACAGAAGAACUUCAUUCAGGGUAGUAUCCACAGGAUCAUAGCUAAAAAGAAGGGACUUUUGAAAGACAUUUAAACACAGUGGUGUGAAGUGUUAGAAGACAGUUAAACAUAAUGAAUCUGUUACCUCUUUUUAAAAUAUUUACGGAGCCCUGGUUGCGCAGUGGUUAAGCAUUCGGCUACUAACCAAAAGGCUGGGAGUUCAAACCCACCAGCUGCUCCUUGGAAACCCUAUGAGGCAGUUCUACUCUGUCCUAUAGGGUCGCUAUGAGUCGGGUGAGUUAAUUUGAGAGUUAAUUUGUGAAAGAACACAUUAAGGGAGUUGCAACAAUAAAAACUGGAGUUAUUUAUAACUAUUAUUUCUAAUUUAUGGUUAUUCUUUUCUAGAGCAAUUUAGGCAGUCUAGGAAACUCUCAACAGUUACUGAAUUCCAUUCUAUCUGUAUUCUUAGGUCAGAACCUAAAGAUACUUUCAUGAUUUCUUUAAGAAGAAUUUACAAAACCUUUCACCCUCAAAGAUGGAUUUUAUUCUUACACUUGCAUUGGGGAAUGAAGGCUAUUGCAUAUAUUUCUAAAUAACUUCUCAUUAAAAUUACAUUCUGCUCGACAAUAAAAAUAAAAAAGAACGACAAGAGAAGAAAGGAACAGAAAGGGAGGGUGAAAAGGAAGAAAAGAAAGCAGCAGCCAUUCAAAAUAUUCAUGGACUGCAGAAAAAAUCUGAAGGGCUCUGCUUUUAAUACUCAACAUCUGUCUUUAAAAACAUAUCAAUCACAUGAUCACUAACAGCUGUUGCAUUAGACUGUUAAUCAACCAUGAUUUUCAAAAGGAAGGAAGAAUGCUGUUGGAUCAGUUGAUGGAAAGUUAUUGCUUAGAAUGCACCAGCUUGGUACUGGCAACAGGAUUCAAAAUUUAAAGAGACAAAACUUUAUCAAGGACCGUAAACACUAUUCAUGUGUAAAGUGCUAGGCUCUGAACAGCAUAAAUGGUCCCACAUGUUUGGAAGCCUGAAGAAAACAGUGCAGGUUAUGACAUGUAUUAAAACUGAUACAUUUAAUGUGAUAUGAAGUAUAUUAAAAAAAAAAAAAGUCCCUAUAAUCAUGACUAGGCAGCCAAACACGAAAGCAUCUUAUAUUUUUAUAAUACUAAGCAUCGAACAGGAUGGAUCCUGUAAGUUUUAAGGGCUUGUUCCUUCCUAGGAAUAUGUCACUUCCAUGGAUGGUAUCAGACAUUAAAAAUUCAUCAGGGAGUGAGGACAUUAAGAAAGUGGUAAUUUUACAUGUAUUAAAGAAGAAGUUACUCUUCCUGUUUUGAAUUAACUUCAAGCUUUCCUGGAGGCAGCUUGUCAGGUCUUUGCCCUUUACCUUUGCAGACUGAGAUUUAAUGGCAAAAAGCUAAGCAUUCUUGUGUUGAAAUAGAGCUUAUUGUUUCAAAAUUAAAGAAAAAAAAUGUAUUUACACCCAGGACAGGAUAUUUUCUAACUCGUCACCAUUUGCUGCUAGAGUUGGUCACAGAGGAAUCACUGGCGUCCAAUUAGAUUGAAAAAGAAUGAAAUUUACAUGUGACUCUGUCUAGCAAAAUAACUCUAUUUAUACCACUCCAGGAAUGAGUAAAAUAGGGGAGUUUCCCCCAGUCUUGGUGGUUUCGCAUGUGAUAGCUAAAAUAAAUCGCAACUGAAUUCCCUUUGAAGGGUAGAUUCGCAGUCAAUAAGAGUUCCCCUUAAAUAACAAAAACGGCAAAUUGAUCUUUCCCUUGUUUGUCAUAAAUAGAAGGCCUAGAAGAAUUAUAGGCAUGAAUAUGGCUUGGUACUUAAUUUCUAUGUUAUAAUAGGAAAUUAUUUCUUUAUAAUGACAUGAAAUUAUGUGCUAUAAGAUUUAAGAGAGGCACCAUGAUGGUCAUAGUCUAGAGAACAAUGCUAAUUUAUUGAAGACAUGUACCUCUAUUCUAUAUUCAAAUAUUCUACAUUCAAAACAAUGGUAUACAAAAAUGCACAAAGCCAUGGUCCUUGCUUUCUUAGCAUGCAGUCAUAAAAGAGACACAGAACAGCUGCUACUGGGCUGCAAAAGCAAAUCAAGAGGAGAAAACAUUACCUCUACCUUGGGGGAAGUGGGACAAAAAUCUGAAAAAGCUUUAUUGAAGGAGGGAUAUUUGUCCUAGGCUUGGUGGUAUGUGUGCAGAAGAGCACCCUAAGUAAAGGAAAACACAUAGCCAGUACCAAGUUAGGUAACCAGAGUAGCGCUCUGAUCCAGAAAAUGAUAGGGAGAGGUGGGUGAGGAAACUGAAUGCCUGAAUUGGAGUUGGGUUAUGAAUAGCCUUGAAUGCCAAGCUUACAUAGUUGUAAAUUCUCUCUCUCUCUCUUUUUUUUUUUUUUUUUUGGUAAUAUUGAGACUCCAUCUGAAUAAAUCAUUUUCAAACUCUCCUCUGAGAAGUCAUAGGAUUUACAUGAAAAUUUGUUACAGACUUCAGUGUGUGUGAAAUGAGAAGAGGAAUGAGUUCCAGAAUCACAAUCCCAAUUCAGAUUUCAGCCAGAUACAAGCCUUAUUUACUGCAAAAUGGUAUUGAAGAAUGGGAUCCACUAUUUAAGAAAAAAAUUAAUAAAUGAAAGAUGGGAGAAGAUUCAAAAUCACUGUAUUAAAUACUUUGAAGUAGGAAAGCCCCAGGGGCACACUGUUUCAAUCGGUUGGUUGGUUGGUUGGUUAGUUGUUUCUGAAAGCCAUUGUGGCAGUUGUAUAAAGAAUGGAUUUAAGACCACUUGUGAAGUCAAUACAACAAUUAAUGAGAGAGAUGAUGUUGUUGUUAGGUGCCAUCAAGUCGGUUCCAACUCGUAACAGUCCUAUGUACAACAGCGCAAAACACUGUCUGGUCGUGCACGACCCUCACAAUCGUUGCUAUGCUUGAGCCCAUUGUUGCAUCCACUGUGGCCAAUCCAUCUCACUGAGGGUCUUCCUCGUUUUCACUGACCUCCUACUUUAGCAAGCAUGAUGUCCUUCUUCAGGGACUGCUCCUUCCUAAUAACCUGGCCAAAGUAAGUGAGACGCAGUCUCUCCAUCCUUGCUUCUAAGGAACAUUCUGGCUGUACUUCUUCCCAGACGGAUUUUUCCUUCUUUUGGCAGUCCUUGGUCUAUUCAGUAUUCUUCACCAGCACCAUAAGUCAAAGGCAUCAAUUCUUCUUCAGUCUUCCUUAUUCAUUGUCCAGCUUUCGUAUGCACAUGAGGCGAUUGAACACUUCACAGCUUGGGUCAGGAGCACCUUAGUCCUUAAAGUGUUAUCUUUGCUUUUCAACACUUUAAAGAGGUCUUUUGCAGCAGAUUUGUCCAAUGCAAUGCAUCAUUUGAUUUCUUGACAGUUGCUUCCAUGAGAGAUGAUAGAAGCUGCAAACAAGCCAAUUGAAAAUGAGAGGACAAGGAGAAAUUUUAGAGCUAAAUCAAAAAUAGACUAGUUAGCACUUGGUAGCAAAUGGGAAGGGGGAGGUGUAUGGCAGGGCUACUAAACUGUGGUCUAUGGACCAGCAUCAUCAGUAUCGCCUGAGAGUCUCAGCCCCACCCCAGACUUGCUGAAUCAGAAUCACUGGAAUGAGGGUGAGAUGCAAAAAUCUGUAUUAUAACAAGCCCAUCAGAUGGCUUAUAUGCAUGCUAAAGUGUAAACAGUCCCUGAGUGGUGCAAAUGAUUUAUGCUAUAAGUUGGAAUUGACUAGACAGCAAUGUUUUUUUUCCUUACUAACCUAAGGGUUCAUGGUUCAAACUCCAAGUGGCACUGCAGAAGAAAGACCUGGCAAUCUGCUUCCUUAAACAUUGCAGCUAAGAAAACCCUAUGGAACAAUUCUGCUCUGUAACACAUGGGGUCACCAUGAAUCAGAAUCAACUAGAUACUAAAAGGUUUGAUUUUGUUUUGGCAUUAAAAUUGUAGAUGCACUGGUAUAGAGGAUGAGCCAACAUUCCUAGUUUGGUGAAUAGAGUGAAUGGUGCUUGAAAAUGAGAAAGAUAUGUUUGGAGACCCAUAUGAUUGUUUUGAUUUUGGAUGAGUUGAAUUCGACAUUAUUAAGGGCAGUCAGAUGGAUAUUUCAAAAUUUGGGUCUAGAGCUCAAGACAGGAGUUGAGAUGGGAUGUUGGUUAAGGUAAUCCAUGCUGUUAAAGAGAUAACCUCAUAAAUUUCAGUUUCUUAACCUGUAAACAUUUAAUUUUUGUUCAUGUAAAGUCACAGCCAGGCGUUCCAGAUUGGUAGGUAGCAGGUUUCUCCUACUGGUUGCUUCGCCAGUGUCAAAAGCAGCUCAUCACUGGUGUAGAUUAUCCAACAGGCAACUUAAGCAUGGUGUUUACCUUGCUUACCAACUCACCUAUACUGAGCAAUUUCACAUUUUUUCACCACAUCAGAAACUCUGCUACUUGGUAUUGUUGGUAUCUGUCUCUCUCCCAACUCCAUAGCACCUUCCUCCUACAGAAUCAAAGUCUCCGCACAUUUACAACCCCUGACAGGGGCAGGUGACCCAUAAGCAAGGUAAUCAUGGACUUACUUGUGCUUACUUACUAAUCUGUAGUGAACAAUUUCACAUCAAAGAUGUGGUGAAACCCAUGUGAAAUUGUUCACUAAGAUGAUCUGGUAAACGAGGCAAGUACAUGCUUACCUUGCCUGUUGGAUAAUCUGCCCUUGGCGUUGUCAUCAAGCUGUAGCACAGGGAGAGCAUGAAGGGUUAUGCAGUGAAUUACUUAAUAUGGCCCUUCUAGCCAUGGUCUUUGUAACUCCCACCAAAUGACUGGAUGAGGAUUAUGCAAAUGAGGUGCUUGUGGCCCACCAAGGAGAUUGGAUAGCUUGCAAGUAAUGUAAAUAAGGUACGUGACACCCUUGUAGGGAUACGACCAUGUGAAUAAGGUGCAUGGACCCCUAAUGAGGUAAUUGGUCAGUUUUGCCAUCCUGCUGGGCUUAAAAGAGCAGUCAAUCUCAGAGCAGAGGAGAAUUCCAACACCACCAAGAGAGAGGAGCCAGGAGUGCGGCACAUUUUUGAACCUGGGAUCCCUGCACUGAGAAUCUCCCAGGUCCAGUAGACAGAGAGAGGAGCUGUAACACAGAAGACAGCAAGAGUUAGCAGUGCAAAAUGGCUGAGAGGGGCUUCCCUGCCCACAGAAGACAAUAGGUGAGAGCCCUCGGGCACAAAGCUUACUGAUUGAGUGGGAUGCCUCUGGGCACUUAUUGGCAGAACUAAAAGAACUUUGUAACACUUGCCCAAGCAGGGCAGAGGCUGGGCCAAGGAGCCAAGAAGCUGGGGGGCUAGAGAGAGGUGUGCCUGUGAGCACAGCUGAGAAGAGGCUAUCCUCAUGGAAGAACUGUAUUCCAAGUGUUCCUGAACCUGAUUUGGAACCUAUUACUUCAGGCUGCUAACCAAAAGGUCAGCAGUUCGAAUCCACCAGCUAUUCCUUGGAAACCCCGUGGGGCAGUUCUACUCUGCCCUAUAGGGUCCUUAUAAGUCUGAAUCAAUUCAACAGCACACAGCAACACAGUACUUACAGGUGAUAGUCAUUAUUUUUUGAGCCAAUUGGUUAUUUAGCUACAAGGUGAACUCCGGAGUUAUUUUCAGUUCAAGGUCUAAAGAAUAUCUCAGGGCAAUAGUCUCGGAGAGUCUUCCAAUCUCCACAGGUCCAGUGGGUCUGGUUAUCUUUUUAUUUAUUUUUUUUAAGGAAUUUAAGAUUCUGUUCCACAUUUUUGUCCCAUUCUAUAGGGUCCGUCUAUUGUGGUCCUAUUAGAAUGGUAGGUAAGGGCAACUGGGCACCAUCUAGUUCUUCUAGUCUCAGGGUAGAUGAGGCCGUGGUUCCUGUAGACUAUUUGUCCUGUAGACUAAUUACUUCUUUGAGUCUUUGGUUUCAUUCUUUCUUUGAACAAGUAGACACCAGCAGUUGCAUAGUGUUGGCCACUCUUGACAGCAAUUUGGAUAUCUGAAGUAAAUAAAGUGUUUUCUGAAAUCAUGGGAAAGCACAGAAUUGUCCAAGAAAUGUGCAUUUGUCAAUAAGCUGCAUACAUAAUGUAGUCAGAUGUGAGUCAAGAGAUGAGGCAUAAAAUGUGAGUCAAGUGAUGAGACAUAUUACAUAAGCAUAAACAAUAAAUUCACAACGCUUAAAAAAACAGGAAACCCUGAUGGCAUAGUGGUUAAGAACUAUGGCUGCUAAUCAAAAAGUCAACAGUUCGAACCCACCAGGUGCUCCUUGGAAACUCUAUGGGACAGUCCUACUCUGUCCUGUAGGGUCACUAUGAGCCAGAAUUGGAUUGAUGGCAAAGAGUUUGGUUUUGGGUUUUUUUCAAAAAGAAGCGUAGAAACUUGGGAAAAUAAAAGUAAAGCCAGUCAUAUUCAUUUUAACAGAUUUGCUUUAGUACUCUUUAGUGGGAUAUCUUGUUUACCUAGAGACUUCUUAUAGUUUGUUGAGAUUGAAGGCAAUACAUCUAACCUACAACAUAUUCUUAUCCUAAAAAGUGAUUGAUUGAAAAAUAAAAAAAAAACGCAGACUGCUUUCCUAAAUAGAUACAAUAUUUCUUUGAGAUAUUCUUUUUUAUAGUUUUCCUCUUACAUUAUCUCAUUCAUCUUUCUUUUUUAUCACAACAUACUAGUUAGCAAGGACAGUAGAUGAUUUGAAAGGUGAGAAAAUAGAGGAUUAGCCAAAAAAGUGUUUAUCCGAAGGCGCAAGAUAAGUGAAAAUCAGUCGUAUUCAUAUAAAAGGGGAUUGAGAUUUCCAGUGCUGAUCCAAUUUGAUAGCUGGAAACCAUGACGCACAGAACAUUAUGUUUUCUUCUUUAGAAAGCAUUCAGCUUAGUGGUGAGCAGGGAGCUAAGGAACCUAGAAGAACUCCCUGGUAUAGUAUACAGAGCAUCUUCAUUUAAUGUCUCUCAUAAUUGCUGGCUCAUGUAUUCCCCACUGGCAUUCUCCCACCACUCUCACCCUUCCCUCAGCGGGCCUUGGAGGGGCUUCCAGAAACUCACAGAGUUUUGCCAGCACAUUUGAAAACAACCGAACAAGAGAGGAAAACAGGUGACAAAAAAUGCGAGUUAGAUUUUGGAAAAUAAGUUGGAAAUGUUUUCUCAACAGCUUUCCCUUGUAAUCUAGAUGUCCAAAGUAGUUUAUUCCAUCUAUUUUUUGAAAAUUCUCCCUUUCAAAAACCUCUCUGAUACAUGGGAUAAUAAUAUGACCUAUUUAGUGUGAGAGUUGUAAGGUUUAAAAGAAAGAAGAACUGAGAUAAGACAUGAUAGAACACAGAUGAACCUUGAAAACAUUAUGCCGGGUGAAGUUAAGUCAAUCACAAAAGGACAAACAUUGUAUAAUCUCACUGAUACGAAAUACCUAGAAUAGGCAAAUGGAUAGAGAUUGAAGUUGAAUAAUGGUUACCAAGGGUGUGAGGGAGGGGGACAAAGGGAGUCAUUGUUUACGAAGCAUUGAGUGUCUGUUUAUGGGGAUGGAAAAUGUGACAACAGGUACUGAUGAUGAUUGCACGACAUGAUUGGUGAUUGAUGUGGUUGGUAACACAAAGUUGUACACUUGAAAAAAUAUUGAAUUGACAAAUGUUGUGUUAUCUAUAGUUUUACAAUAAUCAUAAUAAAAGAACUGAGAUAAAAACUCGAUAAAUAGCAGACCUUGUUUCCCUGUUAUCAUUGUUACUAUCCCAUGAUAUCACUAGACGAAACCUCCAAGAAGAGGGAGCUAAAGUUGAUUGGAAGUCUGACCCUCCCUUCUCUACUGAGAGAGGGGCCACACUGCUGGCUGUGGCCUCAAGGUUGCUAUGGUUAUUCUAGGGGCUGCCGAGUUGGGAGGGAAUCGUGACAGCUGUUGCCAUGUGGAGGGGCCCUGAACCCCUGUAAACUUUUGUGAAAGCGAUUUCUUUUGUGAUGAGCUAGAGAUGUUACAUUGCUUACUUUCGUGUUGCCAGUGUAUAUCAUGAGGUCAAUAAAGUUUCCUAAGAUUGUGUGAGGCUAACUAGUGUUCGUCUUCAAUACAUUACCUUGGCAACCAGAAGGAGGCCACAGCUACUGAGAGGGGCGGGGGCAUAGUGGUGACCUUUUCUCUGGAAUGUGUUUUUUCCUCUCUCCCUGAGAAAAUUCUAAUCAUAUUUCAAAUGUCGCUUCUUUCCUGAAGUUUGCCCUGAUCCUUUCCCCAUGCUAUCUCAGGAAAAUUACUUCCCAAUCAAUGUUCCUGCUGGCUAUAUGCUUUACUCCAUAUUGCAAACAUAAAUCAGUUACCUUAAGCUGCAGUGGUAGAAAGCGUUGCUUAGUAGAGUUGCAAGUAGAAUGUCAUUCCAUCUUUGUCUGUCAAACUCUGGUGAGCAUGGGUUCUUUCUGAAAAAGUCAGGGCAAGACAAAACCAUUCCAACUCAAGUGCAGGUCAUAGAGCUCUAUGACGGAGCUAAAGGUAGAAAGCAGAGAGGUGGGGCCACACAAAUAGACCACUCCAGUGCUGAUAAUUAACUAGGGGCAAGGCUUUAUUAGGAGCUCUGGUGGUGCAGUGGGUUAAAAGCUCAUGUGCUAACCAAAAGUUUGAAUCCACGAGCCUCUCCUUGGAAACCCCACGGGGUAGUUCUACUCUGUUCUGUAGGGUCGCUAUGAAUCAGAACCUACUGGAUGGCAAUAGAUUUGGUUUUUGGUUUUAGGGCUUUAUUAGAUUUACCUGAAGAAAAUAUUAAUAGCUAACAUUUAAUGAGAAAUACAAUGUGCCAGGUACUGUGCUAAGGGCUUCCCAUAUGUUAUUUAAUUCUCACAUCAACCAUAAAGCUAAGUAUUAUUAUCAUCAAUAUUUUACAAAUGAGGACCCUGAGGUGUAGAGAGGUUAAGUUACUGGCUGAACGUUACAAAGUGAGGCCAAUGACAAGAGCUGGGAUUUAAAUCUAGGCAGUAAGGAUUCAGAGCAUGCUGUCUUCGUGUCACCAUUAUAUGUUACCAUGAGGACGUUAUAUGACGUCUAUACACUGCUUGUUAUUAUCAUCAUUUAUAUCCUGGUCAGAAGAGAAAAGCCAGGAGCAAGGUCAGGGCCAAGACAUCACAAAGCAAUGGGAUCACUGAUGGGAAAAAGUUCCCAGAGGAGGGACAUGGAUCGGAACUAAAAGAUGAUGAGUUGACAAGGGAUAGAAGGAUCUUCUAAUCCAAAGGGAGGAGCACAGUAAGAGAGGCAGCAUAAAUUAAUGCCUUCCUACAGGCAGUGGCUUAGAAGCCCAGGCUCCUUCUACCAUACAACUCUACCAGGGUCAGUCCUUUGUUUCCAGCUACACAAUUGAAGAAAGGGCAUGGAGAAAGCAACCCUAGUCAAGAAAUAUUCUGCUGAAGGGUCAUUGAUGAAAAUUGGGCACAUGUCCGCAUUCGUACGUAUGCAGGGAGAGAACACAUGGCAAUUUGGUGACAUGUUAAGUUUCUACUUAACAGACUCACUAAUGGGUUAUGAUCCAGUAUUUAUUUCCUGACUACUUCUCCAGCCCCAAUCCAGCCAUUGCGGUCUUCUCUUACUCUCAUAUGUGACACCAGGAUUCCACUCCACAGAGGGCAUUAUCAGAUGCUAUUGCCCUUCUUUCUUUAAGUACCUAAUUCCUACUUAUGGGUCGGAAUCGACUUGAUGGCAACAGGUUUGGUUUUUUUGGUUUGGAAUUCCUGCUUAUCCAGCAGAGUGUCAUUUACUUAUAAUAUCUUCAGAAAAGCCUACUUGAACUCCCUUUGCUAGACAAAAUCCUAGAUCAAGUUCUCAUCACAUCAUUUAAUAUUUUUUGUUACUGUAUCAAUUUUAUAUGUAUAUAUAUAUAUAAUUAUUAUUUGACUAACUUUUUAUCCCCCUUCUCCAAUAGACUGAAAUUAAAUGAAGGCUAUGUUCUAGUUCAUUGUUUCAUUUCCCAAGAUUUACAAUAAGAUGGCUCAGCAGCUGACUGACUGACCAGCUGAAUAAAUAAAUAUACACUCUCUUUAAUAGCAUUUUUUCCAUCAGUGGAAGUGUUCAGAGAUUGGAAAGUCACCUGUCAGUAGUACUGCAGAGGGGUUGGUAUCUGGGCUCAAUGAAUUCUUCAUUUAUUCUAUCAGUACAUAUGUACUGAGUGUCUUUUUUGAGCCAGGGACUUUAUUAGGCACUGGAGACCUAUCUAGGACUCAGCAAAGCUUUCCAGGAAUUGCCAUGCUUGUCAUCUGCUGAUCUUUGUACACUCUUCAUCCUUCCUGAAUACUCCUUCACUCCACAUUUUAUCUCACUCUUAAACACCCUAACAGUCCCAGCUUAAAUGAGUUUCAUCCAAGUAAAGCUAUAUGACCCCAAAGUCUGUGUUAAAGGCAUUGUGGUUAUUGUUGCUGUUGUUGGGUGCUAUAGUGUUGAUUCUGAUUCACGACAAUCCCAUGUAACAGAGUAGAACUACCCCAUAAAGUUUUCUUGGCUGAAAUCUUUAUGAGAGCAGGUUGCCAGGCCUCCUCCUUUGGAGCAGCUGGGUGGGUUUGAACUGCCAAUCUUUAGGUUAUCAGCCUAGAGCUUAAACAUUGUGCCACCAGAGCUUAUUUUAUAAGGGCAUAACCAAAAAAGCCCAUUGCCAUCGAAUUGAUUCCGACUCAUGGUGACCCUAUAGGACAGAGUAGAACUGCCCAUAGGGUUUCUAAGGUGUACCUCGUGGAUUCAAACUGCCAACUUUUUGGUUAGCAGCCAUAGCAAUUAACCACUAUGCCAUCAGGGUUUCCUUUAAAGGCGUAGAUCACUAUAUAAUUUAACAUGAUAGUUAUCAUGAGGAUUAUAAAAUGGGUGAAAAAAGCAUGACAGACUACUAGCAGUCCUCCAGUAAUCAAUCUUCUCCAUUUAUAUAGUGAUAUUCUAAAACAAAUUUUAGUUUUUUUUUUUUUUUAGCCUUUUAGCUGAGCACGUAGCCACCCAGUUAAGACUACAUUUCCCAGCCUUCUUGCUGCUAUAUGUGCCACGUGGCUAAAUUCAGAUCAAAGGCAAGUGAAUAGAUGUAUGUGUGACCCUUUCAGGUCUUGUAUUUAUAUAAUUGUCCAUAAAUUCCCUUCAUCCCCUCUAACUUUUACUGGCUGAGAUAUGGCAAGAAUUGGAGCAGAAUCCUUGGACCCACGAGUAUUCAGAAUGACCCCACCAACCUAUGAAUCUUUAUAAAAUAGAAGUAAAUAUUUUUGUAGUUAUUUCGCUAUAUUUUGGAGUUUCUUUGUUACAGAAGAUUAUCCUGUACUUUCACUAAUACAACAGAGCUCUUAUUUAUAUUGUUGACUUUUGUAUCCCCAACUUAUUGCCCUGGAUCUGGCACAUAGUAGGCACUCAACCGCUAUUUAUUAAAUUAAUGAGUGAAUACAAGAAUGAGUGAGUUGGUAAUGUCAUAAUGAGUGGUAUGAUGAUUCAGGCUGGGGAAUGGACUAUAAACUCAUCGCCCUCAAGUCGGUUCUGACUCAUGGCAGGCCUAUGUUGUUGUUGUUGUUGUUAGGCACCAUUUAGUCAGUUCUGACUCAUAGCAACCCUAUGUACAACAGAACAAAACACUGCCCAGUCCUGCACCAUUCUCACAAUUGUUGUUAUGCUUGAGCCCAUUGUUGCAGCCACUGUGUCAAUCCAUCUCAUUGAGGGUCUUCCUCUCUUUCGCUGACACUCUACUUUAUCAAGCGUGAUGUCCUUCUCCAGGGACAGUUCCCUCCUGAUAACUUGUCCAAAGUAUGUGAGGCAAAGUUCUACCACCCUUGCUUCUAAGGGAUAUUCUGACUGCAUUUCUUCCAAGACAGAUUUGUUGUUCUUCUGACUUUCCAUGGUAUAUUCAAUAUUCUUUGCCAACACCAUAAUUCAAAGGCAUCAAUUCUUCUUUGGCCUUUCUUAUCCACGAAUAAGGAAGGCACCCUGUAGGACACUGUAGAGCUGCCCCAUAAUGUUUCCAAGGUUGUAAAUCUUGGAAUGGAAUGGAAUGGAAACAGACCGCCUCAUCUUUAACCAGCAGAGCAGCUGGUGGGUUUGAACCGCCAACUUUUCAGUUAGCAGCCGUGUUUAGACACUGUGCCACCAGAGCUCCUGGAAUUGACAGUAACCUGGUAAUAAUCUAAACCAAGGAAUGAAUUAUUCCCUGGGUAGACAAAUAUAAUCUGGAUAUUGUUGUUGUUGUUAGCUACCAUCAAGUCAGAGGAAAAACAGCUCUAUAGGGUUUUCUCUGCUGUAAUCUCUGGAAGCAAUUUGUCAGGCGUUUUUUUCCGUGCAGCCACUGGAUGGGUUCUAACAUCUAGUCUUUAUACAAACCUGUUGCUGUCGAGUGAAUUCUGACUCAUAGCGACCCUAUAGAACAGAGUAGAACUGCCCCAUAGAGUUUCCAAGGAGCGUCUGGUGGAUUCGAACUGCUGACCUUUUGGUUAGCAGCUGUAGCACUUAACCACUACCCAACCAGGGUUUCCCCAGUCUUUGUAUUAGCAGCCAAUCUCUAACAGCUUGUGCCACCCAGGCUCCUUAUAAUCUCCAUAAAUAUGUAUAGUGAACCUGCGAGAGCUGGAGCUCAAUGGAACUGCCUUGUUUUUCCGGAUCUCACAAGUUUUCCACCUUUGACAAGGUGCAGUCUUACCACUUUUCUAUUGCUCUCUAUUAGUGGAAAAUAUUUGAGUUUUCCUUCUCUAACAGGUUUCUGCUUUACAUAGGUCCAACUUUUGCAGUUUUACUGUAUAUAUUCUUUUCCUCUGGAAAAUCAGUCAAUCAUUUAUUUAAGGGUUGAUAAAUAAAUGGAAAUAAUUGGACUAUAUAGGUCAAAUGAGAGCAAAUAACUGAAUUCAACAAGUUCUUGAAGUUUUAUUGUUUGGUGAUUUUUUUUUUUAUAAGUAAACAUUUGAGUAUGCUCAGUAUGGGAAUAUUGAGAAACAUCAAUGAGGUUUCUUUCCUCUGAAGGUAAUUUGUAUUUUCUUUGCCCCAUUUGAGACUCCAGCUCUUAUUCUGGAGGUCCAUGUUUAGCUGCCACAAAAUGCUACAGUACCUUGUCUUAGUCUCCCAAACCUAGAGCCAGAAUUGAGUAUUGUCCAUGGCCAGUUCAAUGACUCCAGUCUCCUUCAUUCAGCUUCCUUUCUGUUUGUGAUUUAGACUGAGCUCAUUUUUUAAUUCUCUGUUACUUUCUUCUGAGCCCAGCAAAGCUUUUAAGAGUAUGCGUGCUUAUCCAAGGUCUAGUUCUAGCUGAUUAUAGCAGGAAGGGCCUCUGGAGUAUCUAGUCCACUUACUCUUCAGAUUACUUUUAAUCCUAUGCUUUUAGGCUAUACAAUCCAUUCAUUUUUUUUCUUUAUAGUCUAUCUUUUGUGAUAUUCAAGCCAAUCAAAGCCACUACAACCUUCGUGUAACUAUUUCAUUCGUCAAUCAAUCUAUUUACUCAUUUGACAAAAUGCUUCAAAUAAUAAUUUUUCUGAUCUGGGCAGGGGAUACGCGAUAGCCACAUUCUUGCAAAUUACUUGAAGAUUAUUACUGCCAUGUGGUGAAAUACACGUAUGCACAAUUCACUGCCAAAGCUUUUAGGAAAAUUCUUAUUUCUCCUUGAGGAGUCAGGAGAGAAAGUCUUCUCUAAGUUGGCAUUACUUGAACUGAAGCAAAACCUGUCAGACCUCGAAAGCAUGGGACAGGAAGUUCCAGAACAUCACAUUUUGUUGGUAGAAGCGAAUCACAAGAUGUCUUAGAGUCCUAAGGCUGCCAAAAUAAAAUACCACAAAGCAGGUAGCUUUAAAGAACAGAGUUUAUUGUCUCAGGGUUGUAGAAGCUAGAAGUCUAAAUUCAGGGCAUUGGCAGGGCUGUCCUUUCUCUCUGUUCACUCUAGGGGAAGAUCCUUCCUCGUCUCUCUCAGCUUCUGAUAACCUCAGGCAUUUCCUGGCAUUCCUUGGCUUGUAGACAGAUCUUCACAUGGUAUCUUCCCCCUGUAUGUGUGACCCUGUCUCCAUGCCUGUCCUCGUCUCCUAUGAUACAAGUCUUAUAGAAGUAGGACGUAACAUAAUGAAGAUUGGGAACUCAUUGGCUUAAACUGAUGAUCUCUUCAAAGAAAGACCCUAUUUCCCUGAACAAGGUCACAUUCACAGGUGCAGGGGUUAGAACUUCAACACAUCUUUUGUGGGGACACAAUUCACUCCAUGGAAACCCUGGUGGCAUAGUGGUUAAGUGCUAUGGCUGCUAAUCAAGAGGUCGGCAGUUCAAAUCCGCCAGGUGCUUCUUGGAAACUCUGUGGGGCAGUCUUACUCUGUCCUGUAGGGUCACUAUGAGUUGGAAUCAACUUGACGGCAGUGAGUUUAAAGUCAACCUAAAUUCCAAGGAGUGGGAAAUUUAUCUCUUGAUGUGAGACAUAGUAGGCUCACAAAUGAAGGAAUGAUUGGUGUCCACCUUUGCUGACUACUCACCACACCAAGUGUACCCCAGAAAUCUAGAAAUUCAUUUUCUGUUAUUUCAGAAAAAAUUGCCUAUUCAUUCCCCUCUGACUUCCCUCUUUAUUAACCAUGCUUUUGUGUUUAAUCUCUUGACUCUGUUAUGUAACACCAAUUUCCCUAUUUCUUAAAUUAUUUUAAAAUAUUUGUUUUCUUUUGACUCUCAUUUCUCUCACUUAAACUUUCCCUCCGUGUCCCUAAUUAGGUUCUCAACUUGUUUUCUGUUUUGGUUCUUGAUGGCUUUACUUUCCUCUUUUAUUUACUUUCUGGACAAAGCAAUGUUUUAAAUUUAUUUUGCUGGCAUUUCUUCUUCAAACCCUUGUUGUUCUAAUUUAAAUAGGAGCCUUAAUAAUAGAUAUUUUCAUAAAUCUCGUUAAGUUCUUGUGGACCGUCUUCAGCCGUGGUAUCCAUCCAGUCUCUGGUAGUGAUAUUUUUCCCAUCUAUGUUCUUCAACUGCUACUUUCUUUUGUCAUUCACCCUCUUUUAUUAUUAAUUAUACUAAUACAUUGGUCCUAUGUUCUGUUCACUCUUUUUUUUUUAAUGCUUGAAUUGACCGUGAAUUUUUGGAAGAUAUUGUAAGGGAAAGGUCGGGGCAUCAAGAAAUUUGCUUGGCUUUUAGUAGAACUUUCUCCAACACAGGGUUUUAUGUCCAUGUAUGUAAAAAAAAAUUAAAGUUUUCUUCAGUUGAUAGAUAUUAGCAGCAAUGUUUGGCUUAUAAAUCUCAUACUUUUCAUUCUGCACCUCAGUUGUGCAGAUGGUGCCUCUACAUUCUUCCUCUCUGCUCAUUGGCACGUGCUUUCUCUGUUAUAAUUUGGGGUUCACAUAGAUGUCCACAGGCAGCAACGUGCUCCAACAUCAUUGUUCCAAGCAAUAAGUUAUUAGUUUUAUCCCUUGGCAUAUGCAAUGCACUUGGACAAACCUGUGUUUUCCCAUUUUUUCCUGAAUGGCCACUCCCAAUGUUCUCACUCACCCUGGUUGUCUUCACAUAUGCUGAGUUUCAAAUUUCUUUUGUUAUCUGUGCUGUAAUACUUUUCAAAAGAUCCAAAUUUCCUCUUUCGGUGUUAGAGAUUGUAGUGUCAAAACAAUUCCUCUACUUUCUCCUACAUUUUUCUAUAGGUAUAAACUAAAUAUAUUAUAUUACCAAAGAAGGGCACAAAAUGCAUAUGUACAAUUCAAAGAAUAACAAAAUGAACAUCCAGUCCCCAACAUCCAGCUUAAGAAACAGAAUCUUAGCAGUACAUUUGAUGUCUCCAUGUGCCUUUCAUCGAUUGCAUCCUCCUCCUCCUUGUCCACAUGUACACGUCCUGAAGGUUUUACCGUUGUUAUCUGCUCUUAUUUAUAGAAUAUAUGUGUCUAUACAUACAAACAUGCAGAUGUAUGUAAUCUGUAAAUUGUGUGUUUACUUUUAAUGACUUUUAGCCUUUAGAAAAAUGAAAUGAUUCUCUGAGUAUUCUUUUACAGUUGCUUUUCCUUACUUUUUUUCAUACCUGUAGCUAUAGCUCAUUCAUUUUAUUUUACUUCAUACUUAUGCAAGAGUUUCUCAAAUAUAUAUAAAAUCAGUGGGUUAAAGAGUAUGUCCAUCUUCAAAUUUACACAUUUAAAACCAAGCGUUGGUCAAAGUGGUUGUAGCAAAGUACACCCCAACCACGCCUGAGAGUUCUCCUUGUUCUUUCCCAGAACUUCUGUUUCUACCUUUAAUUUUCAGUUUCUUUAUUAGUAAUAAGAGUGUCUAGCCUUUCACAUAUUUAGCAGCCAUUUAUUUUUCCACUUACUGCUGUAUACAAUCUGUCCAAGUCUUUUAUUAUUUUGUUUUCAUGUUUCACGGAAAUUAUACGUGUACAUACUUGGAUAUUAAUUUUACGUUGGUCAUAUAUGUUACAAGUACCCACUUCAAGUUUGUGGCUUCUCUUUUCAUUCUUAGGAUGGUAUCUUCCAAUAAACAGGAGUUCUUACUUUUAAUUUAAUAACAUGUAUGUUUUUUUUUUUUCCUUUAUGGUUAGUGCUAUUUGUAGCUUGUUUACAAAAUCCUCCACUAUCUUAUUGUAACCAGACUGCUCCACGCCUUCUCAGAGUGGCCAAAGAGACACAAACCAGAUGAAAGUGAAAGUAGAGAGGCUUGUGUGGAAAAGGAUGAGGGAGUAACAUCUCACACUUUGAGGUGAAAAAAGGCCCGAAAGAAAAGAUACAGAGCUGUUUUGAGUUAGGAAAGGCUGUUUGGUUAGCCAAGCAAAGGAGCACACCAGGGCUUGUGUCACCAAGAUAGCUCCCAGAGCAAUAGCCCAAUGAGUUUAUAUAGGUGAAGUAAAUCGGGUCUGGGAUCUUCAGGAACACCUCAAGUUGGGGCCAGCUUGCUGAUUCACCUGGCCUAAAAAGUCAUUUGGCCUUUCUGCGCUUGCUCAGUCUAAAAAGAUAAUAGAUCCACAGUUUAAAAUUCUAAACAUUAUCCCAUUUCCCACCAGUCCCUAGAGAAUCUACUUGGUGGCACUUGUGGCCUGACCAGUGCUCAUUCAUUUGACAAUAAAGGUAUCUCAGUUACUCAGGUAACGCUGAAGUUUUAGCAUAAUUUCCUCAGAAGCAAGGGCGAAAACCAGAUUUCCUUGGGUAAAGUUAAAUUCUUGGCACCAGUAAAAGAGUCAAUGGCUUUUGGUGAAAGAAGUAGCCAUGGAGAUGGUUCACAUUUGGAAGAGCACCAAAGUAGAUAGUAAAGGAGAUCAGUUUAGAAGAAAGAAAAAUUCACUCACUACGUUGUGGUCCUGGAUCAAGUUGGCCAUCAUCCAUAUGUAAUGAUGUCAAUAGGUCCAACUUCUCCUGGGGAAAAUGGUGUAAUGAAUCAAGAAAGCACUAAGUUUCUAGAAGGACACACCUGCACUAUUUUAUAGUGUCUCCCCAGUUCCCUGGCAUUCUCAGUUUGGUGCAGCUUCAUUCAAAGAAUAGAGCUCCAGGGGCUCCCUUUGCCACUCUAGGUAAAGUGAGUCAUGUAGUGGUUAAGCGUUGGACUGUUAACCAAAAGACCAGCAGUUCAAAUCCACCAGGCGCUUCCUGGAAACGCUAUGGGGCAGUUUUACUCUGCCUUAUAGUGUGCGUAUGAGUCAGAAUUGACUCAAUGGCAAUGGGAUUUUUUUUUUUUUUAAAUCUCUAUAAAUAUGCUUCGCACUUUAUACUGCCCUGUUAACUUGUUUAAGAUACUGAUUGAUGGGUCCUCUGACAAACACACUGAAAUGGGAUCCAAACAGUGAGAACUUGCUCUGAUUACCAAAUUGAGAGACAAUGCAACAAUGACAUUUGUGAUGUAUUGUUUUAUUUUACUUCCAGACACUCACUGUAAUGAUGAGGAAAUCUUGGUUUAUAUGCAUUAUGGAAAGGAUCCUUUCCUAUGAAAGUUUAAAAGUGUUUAUUUUUGUAUAAUAACUUCAAUGCUAUGAGUUCAGCUAAGCUUACUAUCUUGUGCAGUAUAAUGGAGAGGGUAUAUUACAGUUUUAUUUUUCUUCUUGUUUUAAUCAUGGAGUAAAAGAAAAGCAGAAAAUAAAUUCAAGUUGUUUUUCAAGUAAUUUUUAAAAUAUAUGAACAAAGUUGAUGCUCAGGAAAGCAAAAUAGCAGGUUAUGAACACAGCCUGUGGUGCCAGUUCAAAUCCUGAUUUUGCCACUUAGUAGUAAUACACAAGGUACCAAACUUUUCUAAGCCUCGGCUUCUGCAUCUACAAAAUGGAGGCAGUAAGAAAAUCUGCUGCGUAAAAGUCAUUUUGAGAAACAAACGCUGGUAAAGUAAUUUAAACAGUAUCUGGCAUGUACUGUGCCUCAAUAAAUGUUAAAAAAGAAGAAGAAGAAGAUGUCAUCAAGUAGAUUCCUACUUACGGUGACCCCAUGUGUGUCAGAAUAGAACUGUGCUCCGUAGGUGGUAUGUGUGCUUUCUGUAUACUCUCAAAUCACAUCUGAUUCUUCAAUGUUCUUAAAACAAAUGUGUAACUCACUAUUAUGUAUGUUUCUAUAAUGCUUUUUACACUUUUAUGAUGUUUUUAUAAUGCUUUUAAACAUCUACAUAUAAGUAACUUAUGGUGUGAAAUUCUAAAUAAUAAGAAUUAGAAACAUACAUAUUUCUAUAAGGCUCUCUAACCAUUAACUAUAAGUUGCUAGAAAGUUGUUUAACUUUGAAAAUACGAUAAUAGAAACAUGUGAAGGAGGUCCUAAAUAACUUUCUGAAAUUGGGCUGUGCACCUGCACUCUGUGAUAAUAGAAUGUAACGUUAAUCAAAUCUCUAUAAGUUAACAAAACAUAAAUAUGUCACUAAACAAUGCCCAUAAUUUUUAAUUAAUUAACUUGGCCUUAAGCCAUGUAGCAGACAAGAAUAUAAAUAUGCCACAUAACAACUCCCUAAUUGGCAAUAAACAUGACAUAAAUAUGUCAUACAACAAUUCUUUAAUUGGCAAUAAAACAUACCAGUUAUAGUUGAACGCAAGAGCACACAGGGUAUAUAAACCCAUGGGUUUCUGCUCAUUUUCGGAGAAGAAGACAAAAGCAAAAAAUCUUUCUGACUCUCUGUCUUAAGACUGAGAAGCCUGCUGAGAUUACUGCUCAUCACAACUGACCUCGAACCCUAGCUCCUCGGGACCUCUUUUCAGUUUGAGGGGCACUCAAGUCUCCUCCCCGAGGCCACUAGUUAAAGGUAAAAGCCCGAAGUCUGAAGACUUGGGCUCUAACUUUUAAACUAAAAUUAUAAUUGUUCAUUUUGAUGCUCUAAUGCUAAAUGAAUGUCUUCAGGGCUUACAUGUGUGCCUUGCCAUGACUACUGUUAUAAAUUGAGUUGUGACCACCCCAAAAAAUACGUGUCAACUUGGCUAGGCCAUGAUUCCCGGUAUUGUGUGGUAUGGUGGUCCUUCAUUUUGUGAUCUGAUGUAAUUAUCCUAUGUGUUGGAAAUCUUAACUUCUAUGAUAUUGAGGUAGCAUAUGAUCAGGAACUGAUGGUACCAAAGGAAAAAGUUCAAGGUGCACUGAAGUCAUUGGCAAAAAACAAGUCUCCAGGAAUCGAUGGAAUAUCAAUGGUGAUAUUUCAACAAAUGGAUCUAGCAUUGGAAGUGCUUACUUGUCUAUGCCACGAAAUCUGGAAGACAGCUACCUGGCCAACCAACUGGAAGAGAUCCAUAUUUAUGCCUAUCCCCAAGAAAGGUGAUCAAAACGAAUGCAGAAAUUAUCAAACAAUAUCAUUAAUAUCACAUGCAAGCAAAAUUUUGCUGAAGAUCAUUCAAAAGUUGCUGCAGCAGUAUAUUAAAAGGAAACUGCCAGAAAUUCAGUCCGGAUUCAGAAGAGGACGUGGAACCAGAGAAAUCAUUGCAGAUGUCAGAUGGAUCCUGGCUGAAAGCAGAGAGUACCAGAAGGAUGUUUACCUGUGUUUUAUUGACUGUGCAAAGGCAUUUGACUGUGUGGAUCAUAACAAAUUAUGGAUAAUAUUGUGAAGAAUGGGAAUUCCAGAACACUUAAUUGUGCUCAUGAAGAAACUCUACAGAGAUUAAGAGGCAGUUGUUCAAAAAGAACAAGGGGAUACUGAGUGGUUUAAAGUCAGGAAAGGUGUGCCUCAGGAUUGUAUCCUUUCACCAUAUCUAUUCAAUCUGUAUGCUGAGUAAAUAAUCUAAGAAACUGGACUAUAUGAAGAACGGGGAAUCAGGAUUGGAGGAAGACUCAUUAACUACCUGCAUUAUGCAGAUGACACAACUUUGCUUGCUGAAAGUGAAGAGGACCUGAAGCACUUCCUGAUGAAGAUCAAAGACCACAGCCUUCUUUAUGGAUUACACCUCAACAUAAAGAAAUCAAAAACCCUCACAACUGGACCAAUAAGCAACAUCAUGAUAAACAGAGGAAAGAUGAAGGUUGUCAAGGAUUUCAUUAUACUUGAAUCCACAAUCAACACCCAUGGAAGCAGCAGUCAAGAAAUUAAAAUACGCAUUGCAUUGGGUAAAUCGGCUGCAAAACACCUCUUUAAAGUGUUGAAAAGCAAAGAUGUCACCUUGGGGACUAAGGUGCACCUGACCCAACCCAUGGUGUGUUCAUUCGCCUCAUAUGCAUGCAGAAGCUGGACAAUGAAUAAGGAAGACUGAAGAAUUGACCCCUUUGAAUUUUGGUGUUGGUGAAAAACACUGAAUAUACCAUGGACUGCCAAAAGAACGAACAAGUCUGUCUUGGAAGAAGUACAAACAGAACGCUCCUUAGAAGCCAGGAUGGGGAGACUAUGUCUCACAGAAUUUGGACACAUUAUCAGGAGGGAUCAAUCCCUAGAGAAAGACAACAUGCUUGGCAAAGUACGGGGUCAGCAAAAAAAGAGGCAGACCCUCAACGAGAUGUAUUGUUUGGGCUCAAGCAUAGCAACAACUACGAGGAUGGCGCAGGACUGACAGUGUUUCAUUCUGUUGUGCAUAGGGUUGCUAUGAGUUGAAAUCGACUCAGCAGCACCUAACAACAACAACAAAGUGUGAUAGAAUAAAUUUCUGUUUAUUAAAGCCAUUCACUUGUGGUACUUCUGUUAGCAGCACUAGAUAACUAAGACAACUACCUUGCAAUAAAUUAAACAAGUUUACAAACCAGAACAUUUCGUUAUUUAUUAAGAUAAAAUUCUCCAUUACUUUAGGGUUUUCAGUGGCUGAUUCUUCAGAAGUAGAUCACCAGGCCUUUCUUCCGAGGUGCCUAUGAUAGACUUAAACCUCCCACCAUUUGGUUAGCAGCUGAGCACAUUAACCCUUUGCACCACCUAGAGUCUCCCAAUAAAUAUUAUAAUAAUAAGAAUAAUUUUUAUUUUAAGUGAGGAUACAGGAACUAUGCCUUUUGAUUGAGUUACUAUUGAUCUUUUAAGCUCCUAUUUGUAUAUUAGUCAAAAUAAUUUCAUGUAACCUUUUCUUCCCAGGAUCCCACUUAUUAGGAAGAGAGGUUAUAUUUUCACAUGCUGGAUGAAAAUACUGAAGUUUUGACCAAGAAUAACCAUCAAAACACAUGCAUCAAAUGCUCUUUUAAAUGAAAUAUACAUUGCAAAUUCCUCCAUGUUAGAGUUGUUUGCUUUGGUAAAUAAAUAUACAGGAUGCCCAGCUGAAUUUGAAUUUUGGCUAAUUAACGGCUAAUUUUAUAGUAUGAACAUGUCCCAAAUAUUGCAUGAGGCAAGCUUAUCUGACAACCAAACUUCAAGCCAUCAGGGAGAAAGUAACCAUGAGUAACUAGGAAAAAAUAGCCUGUCUUUAGGGGAUCUCAGCAAAAAUAAGAAUUCAUUUGCUGUAAAUGACCGAAAACUCUUAAAAGCCCUACAUAUAUUAAUCAAAAAUUCUCCAUAAUUUUUGGUUCAGAAAGAUGGAAAUGUAAAGAGGUUUACAAAAGAAUGAUUACAGAAAAUGGACCCUUAGAAGAAUAAAUCUUUUUAUUCGGAACAGGAAAGAAAAAAGCCCUUUUUGGAAUAUGUCUCUUUGAAGAAUCUUUAGAUCCUUCCAGUUGUAAAAUAUGUCUAGAAGAAUGAAAGCAAACCCUUUUCUAUUCAACAGAUAAUCAUUUCCUUGAAGUUGUUCGUUUUAAGCUCUUCAUUAUAAGAAGCAGCUUAUAAUUAGCUGGGGAGCAAGUACCACCCAUCUUUUUAGACCUAAUAUGGCGGAGGAAACCCUGGCGUAACGGUUAAGCGGUACGGCUGCCAACCGAGAGGUCAGCAGUUUGAAUCUGCCAGGCGCUCCUUGGAAACUCUAUCGGGCAGUUCUACUCUGUCCUAUAGAUUGCUAUGAGUCGGAAUCGACUCAAUAGCAGUGGGUUUAGCUUUUUUGGCUUUAACAUGGUGGAAACCCUGAUAGCCUAGUGGUUAAGCGCUACAACUGUUGACCAAAAGGUCGGAAGUUCGAAUCUACCAGGUGCUCCUUGGAAAUUCUAUGAGGGAGUUCUACUCUGUCCUGUAGGAUCGCUGAGUCAGAAUUGACUCGACUGCAAUGGGUUUGGUUUUUUGGUUUUAAUAUGAUGCAAUGAAAAUGUUUUAUAAUAAAUUUCUCAUGUAAUUAAAUAUUAGGAUCAGGCCCAGUUAGUUGUAAGAAAGAAUAAACUUUACAUUCAAUGUUUUAGGGGGAAAAGGACAAAAACAGGUAUUAAAAUUUCAAUGUGUGAAUAUUAGAGUUCUGAAUGCAGGCUUACAGUUUUUUAAAGUACCAGUGCAAAGACUUUCAGUUAAUCACAGUUUUACCACUACAAGAUGAUAUUAAAAUAUAUAUCUCUUUCCUGCAAAUUUUUACUUUUUUGCUUACAUACAAAAUUAAUGACGGGAGCUGAAGUUUUACAAGACUGAAUGUAUCUUUUGUUCCCAGUGAAUUCUGGUAACAGAAAUAAAAUAAACUUAAAAAAAGAAAUGUAUCAGUCUCUUUCUUCCCCCAAAAGACUUACAAUGAGAUCCAGGGCCUUUCCCCUAAAAACGGAUGAGAUUUUAUUAAGUUGGAGUUUUUUGCUUAAUUUUUCUGACUAGGUCUUGGAAUUUUUGAGGGCAGAGCUAAAUUCUAGAAAAUAAAUAUUUUAUAUCUCAUGACAGAUUCCUGAGGAAUACAAUCCAUAGUCUUAGGUGUGUGCUUCACUUAUUUUCUUUUUAAGAUAAAAAUCAUAGACGUAUAAAAGAAUUCCAUGUUCCAGUGCAGCGGACCUCUCUUUCCAGUUGAUGUAUUUCUCACAGUGUGAUGGACCUUCUGAGACACUACUUUAUCUCUUCUUUUAUGACAACUACCCAUUUGCAGGAAAAAAAAAAUUUUUCCAGCGUCCUUCUUAAACUAAUAGCAAGUUUCUAGGUAUUUAUUUUGUAACAUUGAAAGGACAGAUUCCGGUAGAAAAUAUACAUUUAAAACACAAAACAUCCCGCGUGUAGGAAUUGCCACAUGCAGCUGCAAUCUGAGGCAAACUUGUAGGUGUUUAAAAUUGAAAACUUUUUGUGCUGGUAUUUUGAAGGAAUUUACAGGUAAAACAGACCCAUCAUGUGGGACUAGUGAAUGUGAGAACUAUAAAUUUUAACUACGCUCUCUAAUGAAUACCACCGACCAAGUUUCAAUAGGAGAAACUGAGGCACAAGCAUUCAAGUGACUGAUGAGAGAAGUAAAAGCAAGCUUUCUUUCUUUCUGGCACCCAUAAUUGAUGGUUCCCAAUUCCCUUUUCUUGCUAAUAAGUAGCCUUCAUAUAAAUUAGGAACUGUUGCUUCAUUCUAAUAGUCACUUCUCUUCAUGAGUUAAUAAGGGUAAGGUUCUAUACAAUAUAAGGAUUAAUUGCUAAUUGCGUGAACAUAAUAAUAAAAGAAUUAAGAGCGUGAACCCAAAGUCAAUGAGUUGAAUGGAAAGAAAUGAUGACGUAUAGCUCAAGAUAUUUAAAAUCAGUCAAGGGAGUGGAGUUGUAGAAAAUAAAACCAAACCUAAAGGUAGUAUGUGACAAAUGUAAUAAGCUCAUACAGAAUCCACCAAAAGCAGUUGUUUUUAUUAUUUCUUUGGAAAAUACCACUAUUCUGGAGGUUUCUUCUAGCUCCUAAACAAUUUUUAAGACUAUGAGGCUUUUCAAAAAAUGGGUAACUAUAAAAGAGCUCUCUACCAAUGUUUUAAAUUGAAUGGAAACUGUAUUUUAAUGCGCGCUUCCAUAUUAUGUAUAUAAACAUACAGCACAUGAAAUGACUUAUGUACAAUAAAAGACGAUGCCUGGAUUAUAUCGUGAUAGGUUGAUUAAUAGCCAUUCCUUAUAAAAAGCAGUCUAGGCAUUUUAGAAAUUCAAAGUAAACACACUUCAGUGAAAAUCUAGGACAAACUUUCACAUGGAAAAUAAUCACAUGCCAUACUGUAUUUCUCAUAUCCAUGUUGAAUUCUGUGAAAAUAGCCAUUUUAUGCUUCCUAGGCAAAUAUUUAGCACAAAUAAAUUUGCAUGCUUUUAUUUUAAUCCUAUGAAUUUUAAUAUAUACAUAUAUAAAAUAUUUGUUGGUUUUAAAGAUGUUUAUUUAAGUUUACUGAAUUUCACAAACAUAAUUUUUUGGCCAAAAACAUUAAGGAAUACAUUUCACAUAUUAUACAGAGAAGUAUAUAUGUUGCAAAAUUGUAAACACAAUGUGAAGACAAGAAGAUACGCUCACAUGAAAUUUUAAAUUGGAUGACAACGUGAGCUGGAGGAGAUACUGUACUAAAUGCCUAUACACGGAGUCUAGGGUUUCCCAAUGUUAAUUUAGUUAACCUUCUGGUAGUACCUAUGCACUCACACACCACUUCUACAUGCCAUCUCUAGAAGUGAAGCAGUAAACUAUAAGAUAUAUAUGAGUAGGACAAUGAGGACAUCUUGAGGUCAUUCUAGAAAUAUACAUGUUGUUCUCACACACAGCCCACACGCUAUUUAUGAUUUAGAAGGUAAAUCUCUCAACCUAAGUUAACGCUUCCAUUAAGAACUGUGUGUUUUAUCCUUCAUGAAAACAAAAUGGCAAAGCUUCUCAAGAGCAUUUAGAGAGCACUAGAAAGUUCUCUCUUUUUCUCUGUCUCACACUCAUACAUACAUGCAAAGACUGCAAAGCUGUUUUUGCUGGA
This is a long non-coding RNA of Loxodonta africana (African savanna elephant), 37876 nucleotides long. RefSeq lists it as uncharacterized. The transcript has 9 exons. Lineage: Eukaryota; Metazoa; Chordata; Mammalia; Proboscidea; Elephantidae. The record is from RefSeq and is a predicted model, not a curated record.